CGAGGCCUGGACCUGGCACACAGUGUAGGAGACUGUGUAACCAUGGCAACAGCUACAUUGUCUGCUGGGUUCAGGUUGCC
This 80-nucleotide microRNA precursor is filed under the name Petromyzon marinus (sea lamprey). RNAcentral's name for it is "microRNA pma-mir-221 precursor". Its record names the gene pma-mir-221. It matches the Rfam family "mir-221 microRNA precursor family". The record is from miRBase by way of RNAcentral. Lineage: Eukaryota; Metazoa; Chordata; Hyperoartia; Petromyzontiformes; Petromyzontidae.